This 407-nucleotide ribosomal RNA is filed under the name uncultured bacterium. RNAcentral's name for it is "partial 16S ribosomal RNA". It matches the Rfam family "Bacterial small subunit ribosomal RNA", at positions 30 to 526 of the family's 1533-position model. The record is from RNAcentral.
AUUGAACGCUGGCGGCAGGCCUAACACAUGCAAGUCGAGCGGAGCGGCGGACGGGUGAGUAAUGCCUCGGACUGUGCCCCGUAGCGGGGGAUAACGUCCGGAAACGGGCGCUAAUACCGCAUACUAUCAGAUGAGCCUAGUUCGGAUUAGCUAGUUGGUGGGGUAAAGGCCUACCAAGGCGACGAUCCGUAACUGGUCUGAGAGGAUGAUCAUUCACACUGGAACGGAGACACGGUCCAGACUCCUACGGGAGGCAGCAGUGGGGAAUAUUGGACAAUGGGCGAAAGCCUGAUCCAGCCAUGCCGCGUGUGUGAAGAAGGUCUUCGGAUGGUAAAGCACUUUAAGUUGGGAGGCGGUACCAACAGAAUAAGCACCGGCGAACUACGUGCCAGCAGCCGCGGUAAUUC